RNAcentral lists this long non-coding RNA (366 nucleotides) under Elaeis guineensis (African oil palm). Its description in RNAcentral is "long non-coding RNA (EGUI_LNC018217)". Lineage: Eukaryota; Viridiplantae; Streptophyta; Magnoliopsida; Arecales; Arecaceae. The record is from RNAcentral.
ACAUCAUUCCCAUACUGUCCAUGGACUGGCGAUUGAUGGACGCUGGUGUCAAGGACUGGGUGUGGGAGGAGAUUUGGGUAAGUGUAUCUUAUAUAUAUGCAUAUGAUAUAUUUACACUAUGUUUGAUUAGAAUAAUUUUGUAAUUAAUUUCUGAUAACUUUGUAUAGAGAAAGUACGACUUUUCAGAUCAUGAGAGAGCUCGAGAUAUUCGACUACAGAAGAUUAGGGAGUUAUACCAGAACUACAAGGUCAAACUCCACAAAGGAUGGCUAGAGCACCGUAGGGACAUAAAGGAGGAGCUUGUUUCUUAGAUCUCGGACUAUCUCCUAAGUAUGUGGAAGGGGAUGGUCAGGCAUUGGAGGAGCU